UGGGCAACCUGCCCCUCUCUCUGGGAUAACCCCGGGAAACCGGAGCUAAUACCGGAUACUCCGGCUGGAUCGCAUGGUCCGGCCGGGAAAGGUCCGCCGGAGAGGGAUGGGCCCGCGGCCUAUCAGCUUGUUGGUGGGGUCAUGGCUCACCAAGGCGACGACGGGUAGCUGGUCUGAGAGGACGACCAGCCACACUGGAACUGAGAUACGGUCCAGACUCCGUACGGGGAGGCA
RNAcentral lists this ribosomal RNA (234 nucleotides) under uncultured bacterium. RNAcentral describes it as "partial 16S ribosomal RNA". It matches the Rfam family "Bacterial small subunit ribosomal RNA", at positions 118 to 350 of the family's 1533-position model. The record is from RNAcentral.